CGCGCGCAAUCACCGCGCCUCCUCCGCAUCGCCGCGCCUCCUCCGCAUCGCCGCGAGUGCGCGUCAGGCGCCUGCCCGCCGCAUCGCCGUGCCUCCUCCGCAUCCCUCCCCUCCGCGCAUCCUCCACCCGGAUCCCUCGCCUCCGCCUGCGAGGAGGAACGCUUCGCCGGGCGCCUCUCCUCGCUCGCCAGGGACCGCAUUUGCGUCACUCGUCCGCGCCGCCAUAACUCCAUCGACAAGCCUCGCCGAUCUGCGACGCCGACGAGCCGUGGGCUCCUGCAUCGACGCACUGCCACCGCCUCCACCUCGAGCGUCAACGCCGCCAAGAGGUACAAAAACCCUGCUCCACCACCCCUCCAGCUUCUACCUGAUCCCCAUCCCUAA
RNAcentral lists this long non-coding RNA (384 nucleotides) under Oryza sativa Indica Group (long-grained rice). RNAcentral describes it as "lncRNA OsKYG_07g0013120". The record is from RNAcentral. Lineage: Eukaryota; Viridiplantae; Streptophyta; Magnoliopsida; Poales; Poaceae.